This is a long non-coding RNA of Oncorhynchus gorbuscha (pink salmon), 386 nucleotides long. RefSeq lists it as uncharacterized. The transcript has 3 exons. The record is from RefSeq and is a predicted model, not a curated record. NCBI's taxonomy places the organism in Eukaryota, Metazoa, Chordata, Actinopteri, Salmoniformes, Salmonidae.
CUCCAGGUGAGUGAGCUAGCCUACAGUAGUCUGAGGCUGACCUGGAGCCAGGCCACGGGGGACGUCACCGGCUACCGCCUCCUGGUCACCCCCCUCAGUCCCAAGGGACAGCUGCUGCCCAGCCUGCAGACACAGAUUGAUCUGAAAGGUGAUGAGAGGACAUCUCUAGUGACAGAGCUGACUCCUAAGACAGAGUACUCUCUGACUGUCUACGCCAUCUACCCUGGCCUCAUUGGAGACUCUGCCACCAUCAUUACACAGACACCCCCUGUGCCUCCUGUCUCAAACUUCCGUGUGCUGGAGGAGGGCCUCUUCUCUCUGAGGUUGGCAUGGACACCACCUCUAGGGAAGCUGGAGGGAUACAAGAUAUUCAUCCCCAGAUGUGA